GUGACAGCCCCGUACACAAAAAUGCACAUACUGUGAGCUCGAUGAGUAGGGCGGGACACGUGGUAUCCUGUCUGAAUAUGGGGGGACCAUCCUCCAAGGCUAAAUACUCCUGACUGACCGAUAGUGAACCAGUACCGUGAGGGAAAGGCGAAAAGAACCCCGGCGAGGGGAGUGAAAAAGAACCUGAAACCGUGUACGUACAAGCAGUGGGAGCACAGAGCAAUCUGUGUGACUGCGUACCUUUUGUAUAAUGGGUCAGCGACUUAUAUUCUGUAGCAAGGUUAACCGAAUAGGGGAGCCGAAGGGAAACCGAGUCUUAACUGGGCGUUAAGUUGCAGGGUAUAGACCCGAAACCCGGUGAUCUAGCCAUGGGCAGGUUGAAGGUUGGGUAACACUAACUGGAGGACCGAACCGACUAAUGUUGAAAAAUUAGCGGAUGACUUGUGGCUGGGGGUGAAAGGCCAAUCAAACCGGGAGAUAGCUGGUUCUCCCCGAAAGCUAUUUAGGUAGCGCCUCGUGAAUUCAUCUCCGGGGGUAGAGCACUGUUUCGGCAAGGGGGUCAUCCCGACUUACCAACCCGAUGCAAACUGCGAAUACCGGAGAAUGUUAUCACGGGAGACACACGGCGGGUGCUAACGUCCGUCGUGAAGAGGGAAACAACCCAGACCGCCAGCUAAGGUCCCAAAGUCAUGGUUAAGUGGGAAACGAUGUGGGAAGGCCCAGACAGCCAGGAUGUUGGCUUAGAAGCAGCCAUCAUUUAAAGAAAGCGUAAUAGCUCACUGGUCGAGUCGGCCUGCGCGGAAGAUGUAACGGGGCUAAACCAUGCACCGAAGCUGCGGCAGCGACGCUUAUGCGUUGUUGGGUAGGGGAGCGUUCUGUAAGCCUGUGAAGGUGUACUGUGAGG
This 904-nucleotide ribosomal RNA is filed under the name Escherichia coli. Its description in RNAcentral is "partial 23S ribosomal RNA". It matches the Rfam family "Bacterial large subunit ribosomal RNA", at positions 364 to 1268 of the family's 2925-position model. Lineage: Bacteria; Pseudomonadati; Pseudomonadota; Gammaproteobacteria; Enterobacterales; Enterobacteriaceae. The record is from RNAcentral.